RNAcentral lists this transfer RNA (71 nucleotides) under Dasykaluta rosamondae (little red kaluta). Its description in RNAcentral is "tRNA-Gln". It matches the Rfam family "tRNA". From Rfam's summary of the family: Transfer RNA (tRNA) molecules are approximately 80 nucleotides in length. Lineage: Eukaryota; Metazoa; Chordata; Mammalia; Dasyuromorphia; Dasyuridae. The record is from RNAcentral.
UAGGAUGUAGUGUAAUGGAAGCACGGAGAGUUUUGAGUUCUUUAGUGUAAGUUCAAGUCUUACUGUCCUAG